Molecule: transfer RNA, 54 nt
Filed under: Paraleius leontonychus
Lineage: Eukaryota; Metazoa; Arthropoda; Arachnida; Sarcoptiformes; Scheloribatidae
Description: tRNA-Ser(tga)
Source: RNAcentral
GUUUUCUCAAUGCAAGGCCUUGAAAGCCUUUUUAAGAACUAUUUCUAGAAAACU